CCUACGGGAGGCAGCAGUGAGGAAUAUUGGACAAUGGGUGAGAGCCUGAUCCAGCCAUCCCGCGUGAAGGACGACUGCCCUAUGGGUUGUAAACUUCUUUUGUACAGGGAUAAACCCAGAUACGUGUAUCUGGCUGAAGGUACUGUACGAAUAAGCACCGGCUAACUCCGUGCCAGCAGCCGCGGUAAUACGGAGGGUGCAAGCGUUAUCCGGAUUUAUUGGGUUUAAAGGGUCCGUAGGCGGAUCUGUAAGUCAGUGGUGAAAUCUCACAGCUU
RNAcentral lists this ribosomal RNA (275 nucleotides) under uncultured Chryseobacterium sp. Its description in RNAcentral is "partial 16S ribosomal RNA". It matches the Rfam family "Bacterial small subunit ribosomal RNA", at positions 338 to 610 of the family's 1533-position model. Lineage: Bacteria; Pseudomonadati; Bacteroidota; Flavobacteriia; Flavobacteriales; Weeksellaceae. The record is from RNAcentral.